Molecule: small RNA, 191 nt
Filed under: Burkholderia sp.
Lineage: Bacteria; Pseudomonadati; Pseudomonadota; Betaproteobacteria; Burkholderiales; Burkholderiaceae
Description: Manganese sequence
Rfam family: Manganese Mn2+ riboswitch aptamer (yybP-ykoY)
About the family: This RNA was originally discovered in E. coli during a large scale screen and was named SraF.
Source: RNAcentral
CGGCCCCUCUUCGGGGAGUAGCCGCCCUGGACUUCAGGUUCAGGGGCUCGCGUCAACAUACUUGCCCGGUCGCCAGACCGGUCAUGGCGCGCGCAGCGUAUCGCCUGGCAAGACCGAUGACUCACACUCCCACCAGCCGGGUCGCGGGAGUGCGUGUCAUCGUGUAUUGACCGUGCGGCCCGGUUAUAAAA